This 692-nucleotide ribosomal RNA is filed under the name uncultured bacterium. RNAcentral's name for it is "bacterial SSU rRNA". It matches the Rfam family "Bacterial small subunit ribosomal RNA", at positions 32 to 715 of the family's 1533-position model. The record is from RNAcentral.
AACGCUAGCUACAGGCUUAACACAUGCAAGUCGAGGGGCAGCAUAAAAGUAGCAAUACUUUGGUGGCGACCGGCGCACGGGUGAGUAACGCGUAUGCAACCUACCUAUCAGAGGGGGAUAACCCGGCGAAAGUCGGACUAAUACCGCAUAAAACAGGGGCACCGCAUAGUGAUAUUUGUUAAAAAUUUAUUGCUGAUAGAUGGGCAUGCGUUCCAUUAGGUAGUUGGAGAGGUAACGGCUCACCAAGCCUACGAUGGAUAGGGGAACUGAGAGGUUGGUCCCCCACACUGGUACUGAGACACGGACCAGACUCCUACGGGAGGCAGCAGUGAGGAAUAUUGGUCAAUGGGCGAGAGCCUGAACCAGCCAAGUCGCGUGAAGGAAGAAGGAUCUAUGGUUCGUAAACUUCUUUUGCAGGGGAAUAAAGUGCAGGACGUGUCCUGUUUUGUAUGUACCCUGAGAAUAAGGAUCGGCUAACUCCGUGCCAGCAGCCGCGGUAAUACGGAGGAUCCGAGCGUUAUCCGGAUUUAUUGGGUUUAAAGGGUGCGUAGGUGGUUUAAUAAGUCAGCGGUGAAAGUUUGCAGCUUAACUGUAAAAAUGCCGUUGAAACUGUUAGACUUGAGUGUAAAUGAGGUAGGCGGAAUGCGUGGUGUAGCGGUGAAAUGCUUAGAUAUCACGAAGAACUCCGAUUG